Molecule: ribosomal RNA, 473 nt
Filed under: uncultured bacterium
Lineage: Bacteria
Description: partial 16S ribosomal RNA
Rfam family: Bacterial small subunit ribosomal RNA
Source: RNAcentral
GAUAAACGCUGGCGGCGCACAUAAGACAUGCAAGUUGAACGGACUUAAUCGAAAUAUUUAUGUUUUGAAGCGGUUAGUGGCGGACUGGUGAGUAACGCGUAAGGAACCUGCCUAUUAGAGGGGAAUAACAGUGAGAAAUCAUUGCUAAUACCGCAUAUGCCAUAGAUAUCACAUGAUAACAGUGGGAAAGGAGCAAUCCGCUAAUAGAUGGCCUUGCGUCUGAUUAGAUAGUUGGUGGGGUAACGGCCUACCAAGUCGACGAUCAGUAGCCGGACUGAGAGGUUGAACGGCCACAUUGGGACUGAGAUACGGCCCAGACUCCUACGGGAGGCAGCAGUCGGGAAUAUUGCGCAAUGGAGGAAACUCUGACGCAGUGACGCCGCGUAUAGGAAGAAGGUUUUCGGAUUGUAAACUAUUGUCGUUAGGGAAGAGAAAGGACAGUACCUAAGGAGGAAGCUCCGGCUAACUACGUG